RNAcentral lists this ribosomal RNA (155 nucleotides) under Coptidium x spitsbergense. RNAcentral describes it as "5.8S ribosomal RNA". It matches the Rfam family "5.8S ribosomal RNA". From Rfam's summary of the family: 5.8S ribosomal RNA (5.8S rRNA) is a component of the large subunit of the eukaryotic ribosome. It is transcribed by RNA polymerase I as part of the 45S precursor that also contains 18S and 28S rRNA. Functionally, it is thought that 5.8S rRNA may be involved in ribosome translocation. The record is from RNAcentral. Lineage: Eukaryota; Viridiplantae; Streptophyta; Magnoliopsida; Ranunculales; Ranunculaceae.
AACGACUCUCGGCAACGGAUAUCUCGGCUCUUGCAUCGAUGAAGAACGUAGCGAAAUGCGAUACUUGGUGUGAAUUGCAGAAUCCCGUGAACCAUCGAGUUUUUGAACGCAAGUUGCGCCYGAGACCUUUAGGUCGAGGGCACGUCUGCCUGGGC